UACGGAGGGUGCAAGCGUUAAUCGGAAUUACUGGGCGUAAAGCGCGCGUAGGCGGCUUGGUCAGUUGGAUGUGAAAGCCCAGGGCUUAACCUUGGAAUUGCAUUCAAUACUGCCAGGCUAGAGUACGGUAGAGGGGGGUAGAAUUCCACGUGUAGCGGUGAAAUGCGUAGAGAUGUGGAGGAAUACCAGUGGCGAAGGCGGCCCCCUGGACUGAUACUGACGCUGAGGUGCGAAAGCGUGGGGAGCAAACAGG
Molecule: unclassified non-coding RNA, 253 nt
Filed under: uncultured Oceanospirillales bacterium
Lineage: Bacteria; Pseudomonadati; Pseudomonadota; Gammaproteobacteria; Oceanospirillales
Description: contains 16S-23S intergenic spacer region
Rfam family: Bacterial small subunit ribosomal RNA
Source: RNAcentral